This 200-nucleotide microRNA precursor is filed under the name Oryza nivara. Its description in RNAcentral is "MIR812 microRNA precursor family". It matches the Rfam family "MIR812 microRNA precursor family". Lineage: Eukaryota; Viridiplantae; Streptophyta; Magnoliopsida; Poales; Poaceae. The record is from Rfam by way of RNAcentral.
AAAAAGAUAAACCCUGGGUUUCCGUGCCAACGUUUGACUGUCCGUCUUAUAUAAAUUUUUUUUAUAAUUAGUAUUUUCAUUGUUGUUAGAUGAUACAACAUAAUUAAUACUUUAUGCAUGACUUAUCUUUUUAAUUUUUUUCAUAAUUUUUUCAAAUAAGACGGACUGUCAAAUAUUAGAUACGGAAACCAGUGUUUAUC